Molecule: ribosomal RNA, 506 nt
Filed under: uncultured bacterium
Lineage: Bacteria
Description: partial 16S ribosomal RNA
Rfam family: Bacterial small subunit ribosomal RNA
Source: RNAcentral
AUUGAACGCUGGCGGCAUGCCUAACACAUGCAAGUCGAACGGCAGCACAGUAUGUAGCAAUACAUAUGGGUGGCGAGUGGCGGACGGGUGCGUAAUAUGUAGGGAUCUGCCCUGAAGCGGGGGACAACCCGGGGAAACCCGGGCUAAUACCGCAUAAUACUCUACGGAGGAAAUCUGGCACGCAAGUGCUGGGGCUUUAGGAUGAACCUACAUCCGAUUAGCUAGUUGGUGAGGUAAUAGCUCACCAAGGCAAUGAUCGGUAGCUGGUCUGAGAGGAUGACCAGCCACACUGGGACUGAGACACGGCCCAGACUCCUACGGGAGGCAGCAGUGGGGAAUAUUGGACAAUGGGGGAAACCCUGAUCCAGCAAUGCCGCGUGGGUGAAGAAGGCCUUCGGGUUGUAAAGCCCUUAGGCGGGGAAGAAGGUUAUAGGGUGAUAAGCCUUAUAGCUUGACGGUACCCGCAGAAUAAGCACCGGCUAACUCUGUGCCAGCAGCCGCCGUAA